Molecule: ribosomal RNA, 422 nt
Filed under: uncultured bacterium
Lineage: Bacteria
Description: bacterial SSU rRNA
Rfam family: Bacterial small subunit ribosomal RNA
Source: RNAcentral
UGAGGAAUCUUGCGCAAUGGGGGCAACCCUGACGCAGCCACGCCGCGUGGAGGAAGACGGCCCUACGGGUUGUAAACUCCUUUUCUGGCCGAAGAACCCAGGCCUUUCGGGGCCUGCUGACGGUAGGUCAGGAAUAAGCACCGGCUAACUCCGUGCCAGCAGCCGCGGUAAUACGGAGGGUGCAAGCGUUGUCCGGAAUCAUUGGGUGUAAAGGGUACGCAGGCGGGCGUCUGCGUCCGGGGUGAAAUCCUGCCGCUUAACGGUAGAAGGGCCUCGGAUACGGGACGUCUUGAGUCGGGCAGAGGCCGGCGGAAUUCGUGGUGUAGCGGUGAAAUGCAUAGAUAUCACGAAGAACACCAGUGGCGAAAGCGGCCGGCUGGGCCUUGACUGACGCUGAGGUACGAAAGCGUGGGGAGCGAACA